This 460-nucleotide ribosomal RNA is filed under the name uncultured bacterium. RNAcentral's name for it is "partial 16S ribosomal RNA". It matches the Rfam family "Bacterial small subunit ribosomal RNA", at positions 338 to 795 of the family's 1533-position model. The record is from RNAcentral.
CCUACGGGUGGCAGCAGUGAGGAAUAUUGGUCAAUGGACGAGAGUCUGAACCAGCCAAGUAGCGUGAAGGAUGACUGCCCUAAGGAUUGUACACUUCUUUUAUAUAGGAAUAACAUGUUCCACGUGUGGCAUUUUGUAUGUACUAUAUGAAUAAGGAUCGGCUAACUCCGUGCCAGCAGCCGCGGUAAUACGGAGGAUCCGAGCGUUAUCCGGAUUUAAUGGGUUUAAAGGGAGCGUAGGUGGAGUGUUAAGUCAGUUGGGAAAGUUUGCGGCUCAACCGUGAAAUAGCAGUUGAAACUGGCAGUCUUGAGUACAGUAGAGGUAGGCGGAAUUCGUGGUGUAGCGGUGAAAUGCUUAGAUAUCACGAAGAACUCCGAUUGCGAAGGCAGUUCACUGGACUGCAACUGACACUGAGGCUCGAAAGUGUGGGUAUCAAACAGGAUUAGAUACCCUGGUAGUC